CAGCCUGCAGGCCCUGCGGGCCCAGCUACCAACUCCCAGAUGUACAGCGGCCCGAUGAAGAGGCCAGAAUGCAGUCUGUUCGGCCUGGCUAAGCAGCACCCAGGUGAAACUCUGCUUCCGGAGAACAGGCCCCACCCACCAAGUGAUGAAUCGCAGCCCACGGAUUCCUCAGAGCACUAGUUACGAAAUAGCAGAGUAACCUGGUUAAAUCCAGCUGAGGGCUUUGACAUCCAAUAGAGAAGACUGGAUGGAGACAAGACAAUUCCAAAUGCCCCCAGCACUGGAUGGGCGGUCACACGGAUGGAACCCCUCUGCCGCCAUGGCUCAUGAUGUCUGGAAGGCACGCAGUGGCCACGUGACAUCUGGAAAUGCAGGGUUGCCUCAUUAUGGUGGGGACACAACUGUUGACCUCCUCGGUACUUGAGUCGAUGAAAGCAGCUGUGAUGUGACCAGCUGUGUCCAGAACUCCCUACCU
Suricata suricatta (meerkat) is the source of this 475-nucleotide long non-coding RNA. RefSeq lists it as uncharacterized. The record is from RefSeq and is a predicted model, not a curated record. Lineage: Eukaryota; Metazoa; Chordata; Mammalia; Carnivora; Herpestidae. The transcript has 3 exons.